Molecule: non-coding RNA, 220 nt
Organism: Pelobates cultripes (western spadefoot toad)
Lineage: Eukaryota; Metazoa; Chordata; Amphibia; Anura; Pelobatidae
Source: the annotation of a GenBank genome assembly
GUCUCUUUCACUCGAUAACAGGCAGAUCCAGAUCUAAUGCAAAAUAUUGUAUUAAUAUUAACUAACAAACGAUUGUUAUUGAUAUUUUUAUUCUGUUAUGUGUUUAUUCCUGCCUUUAAUUGAGAGAUAUUGUUUCUUAUAUCUAAAAAUGCAUCAAAGCUGUGCAUCAUGUCUCUGCCUUCUAUACAUUAUACUAAUACAACAAAUACACAUAUUGGAC